Long non-coding RNA from Amaranthus tricolor (Joseph's coat), 1571 nucleotides. RefSeq lists it as uncharacterized. Lineage: Eukaryota; Viridiplantae; Streptophyta; Magnoliopsida; Caryophyllales; Amaranthaceae. The record is from RefSeq and is a predicted model, not a curated record. The transcript has 4 exons.
CUAAACCGACAUACCCUUACUCCCUCAUACAAAACCCACGGCACCCCUUCCUUCUUCCCUCUCUUUUCUCUUCCUUCCUCUUUUCCCUGUGAAGCCGGCCCUCCCUCACUCACUCACGAGCAGCCACGAGUUCCACCACCAACAGCAACCACUUCUCCUCCUUCCUUUAUUGUUGAAGUUCAAGAUUGCAAGGUCCUUCUAUGGUGAUUGAGGGCCUAUCUCUUACAGGGGAUAGAUCCACUUUCAGGUUGCCAUCUUUAGUGCGGAUGGAUGUGCUGCUCAUUUAUGUGUCAUGUGUUGCGAUAGCGAGGACAUCGUUUUCGGAAGUAUUCACGGAUCGUGAAACAACUUGCGGAUCGCGAGAAAGGAAGGAAAAGCUAAUGUUUUGUGGGAGUAGCAGGUCGCGGCUCGCGGCCCGCGAGUUUCGCGGAUUUUUGCGAGUUUUUCUUCGCAAAGUUAGUUUAUCCGUUUUGUUAGUUUUAAUGUAACUACCAACAGUUAAAUAUGGUUGUUUUAACCAGAUAUGUUGGGAUGGAUUGAUUGAAAGACGACAUUAGUUCGUGAAUCGAUCUCGUGUUUCAUGGAGUAACGUGUUGUUUCGUGAAAUGAUGUAAGCUAUUCUAUAAAUAUAGAAGGCUUGUGUGGUUAUUUUCUACAUGCAAUUUCUGAUUUAUUUUCUUCUGUACCACUUUACAUAGAGAACUUGCAAUCCUCGAUUGUAAAAUUUUCGUAUCUUUUUCCAUUUAAGUUUCUCUUACAUCAUUCUAGAUUCCGUGUGUUAGGAAUUUAGUGUAAUGCUUUGUAUCUCUGAAUAUAUUUCCGGUUUAUUCCUAAGCACCAUAGUAGGGAGAAAAUGAUGUUUUAGGAAAGAGCAUCUCGCGAAAAAUUAAUAUCAAGUUCAAACAAAAUCUUCUUAUUACUUUGUUCGGGAUUGAAGAUCGGUUUCUCGGAGUUUUUGGUGGUUGACAUAAGCAUAGUUCAUGAUUGUCAAAUAUAAUUUGUUUUCUACUACAAACUUGUACUUUAUUUUAUUAUUUAUUUAAUAAAUUAUGUAACAUUUUACAACAGAUUAUAAAAGUAGAUUUUAAUUCAAUUUAGUUGAACUAUUUAGCUACAUUUAUGAUUGUCUCACGAUGAAAUUUAUGAGGGUCACUAAAUUAUGUCUGGCCAAGAUUAAAUGUCAUAUUAUUUUUCUUUAACAAAUAAAUGAAUUUUAUUUGAUAAAUUCUCUUUAGUUAUUACACUUUCUUUAGCCAUAUUCACUAAUUUAUUAUAUUGUAUGAUUGUAAUCUGUUUGCACUAACCAUGUAUGCAAUUCUCAACCCAUAACAUGUUGUAAUUUGUUAGAGACGCUAAAAAAAUUGAAAAUUGUUAAUUUAUAGUAAAAUUAUUAAACUGUAUGAUUAAUAUAAUAGAGUAGAGAAGAUAAUGGAAGAGUAUUCUAGAGGCUUAUGUACUUGUGUAUAAGGGUAUGAAUACAAUAGAUAAUAUAGGCCAACACGACCUUUACAUAGAUUGAAAUAAGUAAAACAAAACCCAAACUCCAAAACAAUAUUCUUGUUCCUAUUGAU